RNAcentral lists this ribosomal RNA (449 nucleotides) under uncultured bacterium. Its description in RNAcentral is "partial 16S ribosomal RNA". It matches the Rfam family "Bacterial small subunit ribosomal RNA", at positions 28 to 523 of the family's 1533-position model. The record is from RNAcentral.
GAUGAACGCUGGCGGCAGGCUUAACACAUGCAAGUCGAACGAUGUAGCAAUACAUAGUGGCGCACGGGUGAGUAACGCGUGGGAAUGUACCUUUUAGUGGGGGAUAACUCCGGGAAACUGGAGCUAAUACCGCAUACGCCCUUCGGGGAAAGAUUUAUCGCUAAAAGAUCAGCCCGCGUGAGAUUAUGGUAGUUGGUGAGGUAAUGGCUCACCAAGCCGACGAUCUCUAGCUGGUCUGAGAGGACGACCAGCCACACUGGAACUGAGACACGGGCCAGACUCCUACGGGAGGCAGCAGUGGGGAAUAUUGGGCAAUGGAGGCAACUCUGACCCAGCCAUGCCGCGUGAGUGAUGAAGGCUCUAGGGUUGUAAAGCUCUUUCGCCGAUGAAGAUAAUGACGGUAGUCGGAGAAGAAGCCCCGGCUAACUUCGUGCCAGCCGCCGCCGUAA